Molecule: ribosomal RNA, 1444 nt
Filed under: uncultured bacterium
Lineage: Bacteria
Description: bacterial SSU rRNA
Rfam family: Bacterial small subunit ribosomal RNA
Source: RNAcentral
GGAUGAACGCUAGCUACAGGCUUAACACAUGCAAGUCGAGGGGCAGCAUGGUCUUAGCUUGCUAAGGCCGAUGGCGACCGGCGCACGGGUGAGUAACACGUAUCCAACCUGCCGUCUACUCUUGGACAGCCUUCUGAAAGGAAGAUUAAUACAAGAUGGCAUCAUGAGUCCGCAUGUUCACAUGAUUAAAGGUAUUCCGGUAGACGAUGGGGAUGCGUUCCAUUAGAUAGUAGGCGGGGUAACGGCCCACCUAGUCUUCGAUGGAUAGGGGUUCUGAGAGGAAGGUCCCCCACAUUGGAACUGAGACACGGUCCAAACUCCUACGGGAGGCAGCAGUGAGGAAUAUUGGUCAAUGGGCGAGAGCCUGAACCAGCCAAGUAGCGUGAAGGAUGACUGCCCUAUGGGUUGUAAACUUCUUUUAUAAAGGAAUAAAGUCGGGUAUGGAUACCCGUUUGCAUGUACUUUAUGAAUAAGGAUCGGCUAACUCCGUGCCAGCAGCCGCGGUAAUACGGAGGAUCCGAGCGUUAUCCGGAUUUAUUGGGUUUAAAGGGAGCGUAGAUGGAUGUUUAAGUCAGUUGUGAAAGUUUGCGGCUCAACCGUAAAAUUGCAGUUGAUACUGGAUAUCUUGAGUGCAGUUGAGGCAGGCGGAAUUCGUGGUGUAGCGGUGAAAUGCUUAGAUAUCACGAAGAACUCCGAUUGCGAAGGCAGCCUGCUAAGCUGCAACUGACAUUGAGGCUCGAAAGUGUGGGUAUCAAACAGGAUUAGAUACCCUGGUAGUCCACACGGUAAACGAUGAAUACUCGCUGUUUGCGAUAUACUGCAAGCGGCCAAGCGAAAGCGUUAAGUAUUCCACCUGGGGAGUACGCCGGCAACGGUGAAACUCAAAGGAAUUGACGGGGGCCCGCACAAGCGGAGGAACAUGUGGUUUAAUUCGAUGAUACGCGAGGAACCUUACCCGGGCUUAAAUUGCAGAUGAAUUACGGUGAAAGCCGUAAGCCGCAAGGCAUCUGUGAAGGUGCUGCAUGGUUGUCGUCAGCUCGUGCCGUGAGGUGUCGGCUUAAGUGCCAUAACGAGCGCAACCCUUGUUGUCAGUUACUAACAGGUUCCGCUGAGGACUCUGACAAGACUGCCAUCGUAAGAUGUGAGGAAGGUGGGGAUGACGUCAAAUCAGCACGGCCCUUACGUCCGGGGCUACACACGUGUUACAAUGGGGGGUACAGAGGGCCGCUACCACGCGAGUGGAUGCCAAUCCCCAAAACCUCUCCCAGUUCGGACUGGAGUCUGCAACCCGACUCCACGAAGCUGGAUUCGCUAGUAAUCGCGCAUCAGCCACGGCGCGGUGAAUACGUUCCCGGGCCUUGUACACACCGCCCGUCAAGCCAUGGGAGCCGGGGGUACCUGAAGUGCGUAACCGCGAGGAGCGCCCUAGGGUAAAACUGGUGAC